Molecule: ribosomal RNA, 465 nt
Filed under: uncultured bacterium
Lineage: Bacteria
Description: partial 16S ribosomal RNA
Rfam family: Bacterial small subunit ribosomal RNA
Source: RNAcentral
CCUACGGGGGGCAGCAGUGGGGAAUUUUGCGCAAUGCUCGUAAGAGUGACGCAGCGACGCCGCGUGAAUGACGAAGGCCUUCGGGUCGUAAAGUUCUUUCGACAGGGAAGAAAAUGCCUAUAAGUAACUGUGUAUGUAUUGACGGUACCUGUAUAAGCAGCCCCGGCUAACUCCGUGCCAGCAGCCGCGGUAAUACGGAGGGGGCGAGCGUUGUUCGGAGUGACUGGGCGUAAAGAGCACGUAGGCGGUGUUGUAAGUCAUUAGUCAAAGACUAGAGCUCAACUUUAGUAAGGCUAGUGAUACUAUAAUACUAGAGUAUCAGAGAGGAUUGCAGAAUUCCUGGUGUAGCGGUGAAAUGCUUAGAUAUCGCGCAGAACCCCGAUUGCGAAGGCAGCGUACCGGCUCCACACUGACGCUGAGGCACGAAAGCGUGGGUAUCGAACAGGAUUAGAUACCCUUGUAGUC